RNAcentral lists this unclassified non-coding RNA (428 nucleotides) under Hevea brasiliensis (rubber tree). Lineage: Eukaryota; Viridiplantae; Streptophyta; Magnoliopsida; Malpighiales; Euphorbiaceae. The record is from RNAcentral.
CGCCUCCCACAUAGCAAAAUGUAUGUAAUAACACCAAUACUCCAGACAUCAGAUUCAGGUCCGGACCUGCGCUUUAAUACUUCAGGGGCUACAUAGUAGGCACUGCCAACAAUGUCCUGAAACUUCUUGCCUGGUUUAAUGAAGUCUGAUAGGCCAAAAUCUGUUGCCUUCAGAGGUGAGUUCUCCUUGGUUGACUUGAAAAGAAAAUUCUCUGGUUUCAUGUCACGGUGUACCAAACCAUGUAAAUGGCACUCAGCUGCAACUUUGAGCAUCUGUCGUACAACUACUGCUGCAUCUUUCUCAGAAUAACGACUAUCCUUCUUUGCUAAUAUGCGAUCCAGCAAUUCACCACCCUCACAUAACUCCAUUACUAUAUAUACAUAAGAAUCAUCCUCAAAUGCGUCAUAAAACUGAACUACAUUCUCAUG